This is a long non-coding RNA of Cyanistes caeruleus (blue tit), 1819 nucleotides long. Lineage: Eukaryota; Metazoa; Chordata; Aves; Passeriformes; Paridae. The record is from Ensembl.
GUUAACAUCUGGCUGUUUUAUUCUCCUUCCAAUAUCACAAAACAGCCCUAGGCCUCAAGUCACCGGCUGGGUUCAAUCGAGCAAGCAGAUCCUCUGUUUUCAAAGCUACACUAGGCACCAGGAGCAGAUUGGUGACUCUGGCACAAUAUCUAUUAAUAAAUAAAAGCAUCAGGCUUUGCAUUUGAAUAGGCCUUUUUCUUUGGCAGAUCACAAAGUAAUUUCUAAAGAAGGGCAAGCAUUAUUAUCUCCGUUAUGGGGCUAUGUUAUAUGACAAGCUCUCAGUUGGGGACUGGGCAAGAACUUGUCUCUCCAACAAGGAACAGCUGCUCCCCUUGGUUAAAUGCCACACACCAGCAGUCCUGAAAGCUUUCAGGCUCUGGCCAAGCACAGAGAGUGCUUCAGCCAGAUGGGCAAGAGCAACUGCUGGAAGGCUGGUCCUGUUACCCAGUUUGCUACAGGCUUUAGGAUGUUUCUACAAUGCUUGAAAAUAUGGUAUCCUUGCAAAAAGACUACCCUGCAGGUGGCCUGAUUACCUUGCAUUCUUCACAUUUAUAACACAUUUAUACACAUCACAGCUGAUGUUUUAGCCAUUGGGUCAUGUUAUAUGUUAAACUAAGGACUUAUCAAAGUCCUUUUUGAUUCUUAAUCAAGACAUCAAGUUGCCUUCUCUCCCAGAUUCUUUUGCAAAAUAUAAAUAAUGUGUACUUCCAGUUAAUAGUUCAUUAGAUUACUUUGAAACUUACACAUUAACUUGGUCUUUUAGCUAGUGAGCCAGAGCAAUACAAUCUAUGGUUUGCAGACCACAGCAUGGAGUUGUAUGAGCAUCCAUUAGCAAAGAGAAGAGCUGCUUCCCAGCACAGAGGUGGUUAAGAAGUUUCACGUGCACAACAUGAACACAUACACACAACAAAACCAGGCUCCUGCUGUCGGAUACUGGCAUUCGUUGUCUCUGACAGCUGCUCUGAACCAGAUGGGAAACAGCUAUUCCAGUUCUGCUGUAAGCCACAUCCCAACACCAGCAUCACUGCAGACUCCCAGGCUGGCAUCUCAACUGAAAAGAAGCACGGCAAGUGAGUAAAGAAGCCAAAUCCCCCUUUCCCUGAGCCAGUGUCAUCUCUCCAGGAAAAAACUGAGGCAUAUUUGGUGGGGAGAGGAAAGAAGCAGAGAAGUAGGUUUUAGAUGCUGCACUUGGAAAGAUAUUGACCACAUUUGUUCUGAACACAGGGAAUGUCUGGGUCCAGUGCUGACAAUCUGGCAGUGGCUGAAUGCUGUGGAGUUCACUCAGACGUGAUAAACAGAAGGAGAAAAAAAAGUAACAAGUCAUCACUGACAGCAGUAGUGUCCAACCCGUGAGUCAAGCCCUCUUAGUGAGGCAUGACAGCAUGAAAGAUAAGAUAUAGAAGAGAGAGCAGAGGUACUGCUGACACUGAAGAACAGAAGAGAGAGAAUUGUUAGGUUAUGUUUCUUCACUUUCGUUUUUUCACUCUCAGGUCCAACUCUAAGAGCAGAAGAUUGAGCUGCUCAGUAGGAAGGAAAUAUAGUGCUAUAGAUCUCUGAAGACAGGGACACUGAGGAAUCAUGGGUCAUGGGAUAUUGGAGGAGGGGAGGAACAAAAAGUAUAAUGAAAAGCUAUAGCUGUAAGGCAGGUCUAACAUCAAUCAACCAUUACUGCCCUGGAAAAAAGUAAUAACCUGAAGCAUUUCUACAUUUACAAUAGUAAAUGAAUACAGUCUUAUUAAAACAGUUGGAUUCAGCUCCACCCAAGUCCAGUGACAUUCUAAAAAAAAAAAUAAAAUAAAGUAAGAUUAAUAAAUUCUCA